This is a non-coding RNA of Nicotiana tabacum (common tobacco), 5782 nucleotides long. The record is from RefSeq and is a predicted model, not a curated record. Lineage: Eukaryota; Viridiplantae; Streptophyta; Magnoliopsida; Solanales; Solanaceae.
GCCCAAAGAUAGAAAUGAUAUUGUCAUCACUCUAAGAGAGGACAUAUCGCACCAAAUAGUUUUUAAGCUAAUAUGAUUAGUAGUUUAUCAAACAGAGAAGUGCCAGAUGUCAAGAUGAUUCUGUGGACUGCAUUUUGGCUGCUAUAUUACAAGAUCUUUUUACUUCGUUGAUCACUAUUUGAUUAAGUAGAAAAAGAACCUUCCAACUGUUAAUUUUUGGCACUUCUAUCUGACUAAACCUAAAAGACUUUCUUACUCUUAUUCUCAUUUGAAAUGUUUUCAUUUUCUUUCCUUUUUAGUUUCUUCACCAAAUUAGAUAUAUCUGAAAAUAGGUAAAAAGGAAACAGUAAUACUCUCUCUUUGUCGGCACGAAUAGUCAGCUUCACGAUGGAAACAAGGUAAACUUCGUAAUAGAAAAAUUAGGUGAAAGAGUGAAGACAAUCGACAUUUUUUUCCUUUUUUGAUAAGGUAAAGUUUUAUUGAUAAAAGUACCAAGAUGGUACAGAAAAUUACAUAACAGGACCAGACAACAUCUACACAAACCUCCAAUUACAUCUUCCCUAGCCAAUCCAAAAAUUCCAUAUACUGAUUCAUGUUUUCUAAUAGACACCUCUUACACCAAAAAAAACGUUAUGCAGACGAGUUUUUGAUUCUAGAAAUCUGAUUUUUUUUUUUCUUCAAAACAAACAUAGUUCCUCUCACUCCAGAUGGUCCAAAAUUGCAUAAUGGAUAGUUCUCCAAUCUGCCUCAUUUCCUUUCUUAUCUUCUGUACUUGCCAGCUAGCCAAUAGAUUUCUAAUGCUUGAAGGCAUAACCCAAGUAACUCCACAAAGGUUCAAGAAUAGCUCCCAGCAUUGCUUUGCAAUUUUACAAUGAAUAAACAGAUGGUUGACUGAUUCCAAACCUUCUUCACACAGAUAGCACCUAUUGCUUAAAUUGAAACCUCUUUUCUGCAAAUUGUCUUAGUUAAGCAGGCCUCUCUGAUAACUAACCACCCAAAGCAGGCUACUUUAACAUGUGCCUUUGUACUCCAUAACAUUUUCCAUGGCCAAUUAGAUACGUAAUGGUCUGCUUGUUUCUGGAGAAGUUUAUAGCCACUAUUGACAAUACUUCAUAUUUGCGCUUGUUGUCCGAACCAUGGUGUCCUUAUUUUCCUCUAUCACAACUGUGUCCAUUAAUUGAAAAAAUUGACAAACUUCUUCCAUCUCCCCAUCAUUAAAAUCUCUUCUAGAAUCAGCCAUUGGAAGAAUAAUACACAGCCACACUUCCUUCUUUAGUGAGGGAGUAGUUGUAUAAGGACGCAAAUCUGUCUUUCAAGCUCACAUCCCCCACCCACACUUCAGACCAGAAUCUGAUUUUUGCCCCAUUCCCCAACUUCAAUUUAGUAUGUUGCUGAAAUUCAUUCCACAGUUUACUUAUGCUGCUCCGGAGGAAAUAAUGACAACUGGAGGGCUCCAUACUUCCUUCUUCUCAUACUUGGUAUUUAUAAGAUUCUUCCAGAUGCUCUCUUUUCCAUCAUUAUUUCUCCAUAACCAUUUACUCCCCCGUUUCAAGCUCACAUCCCCCACCCACACUUCAGACCAGAAUCUGAUUUUUGCCCCAUUCCCCAACUUCAAUUUAGUAUGUUGCUGAAAUUCAUUCCACAGUUUACUUAUGCUGCUCCGGAGGAAAUAAUGACAACUGGAGGGCUCCAUACUUCCAUCUUCUCAUACUUGGCAUUUAUAAGAUUCUUCCAGAUGCUCUCUUUUCCAUUAUUAUUUCUCCAUAACCAUUUACUCCCCCCGUUUCAAAAAAAUUAUUUUAGUUUGACUUGGCACAAACUUUAAUAAAGAAGGGAAGACUUUUGAAAUAUGUGGUCUUAAAUAAGCCACAGCAUUUGUGCGGUUGUAAAACUUUUAAAACUUGUGGUCUUAAACCUGGCAUAGUAUUUGUGUGGCUAUUAAUGCUUCCUAUUAAGGAAAUAUUGAAAGGUGCCAAUCUUUUUGAAACAGGCUAAUAAGAAAAUAGUGCCAAUCUUUUUGGAACAAUGGGAGUAUAGACAAAGCUUUUAUUAUGGAAUCUCAAGUUUCUAACUCCCAGUCCACCUCCUUUCUUAACGGUCAUCACCUUUUGCCAUUUGACCAGAUGUAACUUCCUUUUUUUCUGCAUACCUUCCCAAAUAAAAUUGCUUCUCAUAGUAUUCACUUUCUUCUCCACAUUCACAGGUAUCUGACAUAAAGACAUCAAAUAAGUUGGAAUCCCAUCCAAUACACUACUAACCAAGGUAGACAUCAAAUAAGUUGGAAUCCCAUCCAAUACACUACUAACCAAGGUGAGUCUGCCUCCAAGGAAUAAGUAUUGCUUUUUCCAUGGAGUCAAUUUUUUGCAACAUCUAUCAACUACUCCACGGCCAGAUCCUCAGUUCAUUUUUCCCAGCACCCAAUGGAAGCCCUAAAUAAGUUGUUGGUAACUGCUCCACUUCACAGCCCAUUAACUCUGCAAGAUCAUCUAUACAAUGUUCUGCAUUAAUGCUAAACAUACUACUCUUUGCCAAAUUCACCUUUAAACCUGUUACUGCUUCAAAGACUAGUAGGACCCCUCUGAGAUAAGAGACUUGUUCUUCCUUAGCUUUACAAAUCAGUAAGGUAUCACCUGCAUAUAAAAUAUGUGAGAUGACACAACUUGCCUCACCCCUUCUUUCAAUAUUCAAGCAUUUAAUCUACCCCAAUUGUUCAACUUUCUUUAAGCAUCUUACUGAAAAUCUCCAUAACCAGAACAAAUAAGUAUGGGGACAAAGGGUCCCUCCGCCUUAGCCCUCUAGAAGAAUUGAAGAAACCUUGAGGGCUUCCAUUAAUAAGUACUGAAAAUAUUACGGUAGAGAUGCAAUAUUCAACACAUUUUAAUCAUUUCUCAUCAAAAUUCAUCUGCCUCAUGAUAUUCAAUAGACAUGCCCAAUUAAUAUGAUCAUAUGUCUUUUCUAGGUCUAAUUUACAGAGAACUCCUUGCUUUUUAUUUCUGAUCAAAUGCUUCACACUCAUUGGCAACCAUAGAAGCAUCAACUAUUUGUCUCCCAUUUAUAAAAGCAUUCUAAUUGUCACAGAUCAAAUUUUUUAUCACCACCUUGAUCCUUUCUGCCAGCAAUUUAGCAAUAAUCCUUUGGCCUUUUGUCUUUUAUGUCCACAUCAUCUUCCUUUUUUGGUAUUAAGGCAAUAAAUGUAGCAUUAAAGCUCUUAGUGAAAUUACAUUCUUGAGAAAAAAAUUAUAUUGUUCCAUACAUCAUUUUUUACUGUAGUCCAACAUUUCUGAAAGGAAUGGGAUCAAAACCAUCUGGACCUGGAGCUUUGUCUCCCUUAAAAUAAGCCGUUCCCACUUCUUCCAUUGUAAGAGGUUUUUGUACCCAGUCUUUCUCCUCCUUUGUCAGCUUGCUUAGAUCGCCUCCUAACCAUUUUUGCCUUCAUGCUUCAGGUUCUCUAAACAAAAACUUUUCUAAAAUCCCAAAAUAUGUUCCUUUAAUCUUUAUAAAUUUAUCAUCUUCAGUCAUUCUAUAACAAUCUUGUCAAUGCAGUUGUAUCUUUUACGCGCAUUUGUAACUGGAAUUUCUAUCUCCAUGCUCAAUUCAUAAACAUCUGGACUUUUGUCUCCAAGAUAUUUAAUCUGCUUUGGUAGUAUUUUCUGGCUCACUUAGGAUAACACACCUUUCAGCCUCAACUUGAUCAAAACUUUGAGUCAAAAUUGCUCUUUGAUCCAAGACUUCUAUUUUCUUUUCUGUCGGAUUGCCAAAGGCCUCGCUAUUCCACUUUUUCAAGUCUUCUUUCAACAAUUUCAGCUUUUUAGCCAGGACUUCAUCAGCCCUGCCAAGUACAUUGUAUGAGUUCCACCAAUUAUCAACUAAAUCACUGAAAUCUUUAUGUUCAAUCCACAUGUCCUCGAAUUUAAAAUAAUCCUUUCCCUGAAUUUAAAAUAAUCCUUUCCCUUACUCCGAUCCCCACAUUUUAGCAAAAUGGGACAAUGGUCUGAAGUAACCCUGGGCAAACUCUUUGUUUUAAGAUUUUAAAUUGCUCAUCCCAGCUUUCAGUAAACAGGAACCUGUCUAUUAUAUAGGCACAUGUACUAUUCCCCCCUCCCCAGACCAAGUGUAUAAGCCACCAUGAGGUUGGGGAUACAAUAAAGAUAAAUCAUCAAUGAAUCUGAAAAAUUCCCUCACAGCUCGAGUAUUUCUUGCAUUCUCUUUCUUUUCUGCUUCAAAACUGACCACAUUAAAAUCUCCACCAAUAAAUCAUGGAUGUGAAAUCAAGCCACAGAUUGUAGCCAUAUCUUUCCACAAACUCCUCCUUAUCUUCCGAUCACAAGGUGCAUAUACCCCUAUGAAUGUGCCUUGAAAGCCAGUAUUUUCCUCUUCCAUAAACGUAGUAACAGAAUGUUGUCCCACAUAUUUCUCCUUGCAUUUCCAUUUCCUUUUGUCCAAUACACGACAAUUCCCCCACUAUUUCCUUGAGCCUCCAAUUCAACCCACUCACUCCACCUAGACCACCCAACUUGUUUAAUAUCUUCCUGAGUUAGACCACUUAUCUUUGCUUCAUAAAGACAAACAAUGUCAACAUUCCAAUUCCUUAAAAGCAAAUCUACCAAGCUUCUUUUCUUUUUAUCAUUCAUGCCCCUAACAUUCCCACAUAUAAUUGUUAACUUCAUUAAGAAACAACCAAAGCCCUCCUACCCUUGCCUCUACCAACAUUUUCCGCACCUGAACUAGAUUUUCCUUCUUUUUUUCUCUCAUAUUUUUUGCCAGGAGAAAUAUGCGUUAGGGUGCAAAGAAUGGGAGAAAAAUAUAACAUGCGUUAGGGUGCAAAGAAUGGGAGCAAAAGAUAAUCAAAACAUUAGACGAACCAAAUGAAGAAAAGAGUUUGAUGUGGCAAACUGUAGAUUUUGAAAAGAAGAAAAAGCUUCUUGUAUUUUUGUGUAUCUCUUACAUCCCUAAGCAAAUGUAUUUAUACACUACGUCCAAUCAGCAUCUGAGUACCCAAGAAUCUGCUCAUGGCCUCGAUCCUCAAAUAAUAACCCUUUGCCUGGAGCUGACUUUACAUACUGAAGAAUGCGGACGAUUGCAUCCCAAUGACUAUCACAUGGAGAAUCCAUAAACUGAUUUACAACACUCACAGGAAAGGAAAUGUCAAAAGAAAACUGUAACUUGAUGAAACGGGCGGAGGAACACUGUCAGAAAAGAAAUCUGAAUUGAGAGACAUUAUAGGAUUGAAGUGAGUUCUAGCAAAUUAUCACCAAAAUAACAGAAUGAAUUAAUUGUAACUUACUGAAAUGGGCGAAGGAACAAUGUAGCUGCAAGAAAAAUCGGUGUGGUCGCCGGAAAAAACUCAAAGUGAUCGGAAUAAAACGAAAAUAGUAUGGGUGGGGUCGGAAUUAGCAGAUGAAGCAAUUGUUCCGAAGGAACUUUUACAAAAAAUGGCCGGAAGGAGUCGUACACACCGGCGCGUGAACUCACGCGCUCGCCAGAACCCUAGCUUAUGUCAGUGCGUGAGGGCACGUGAGACUGCUGCCGGAGAUGUUGAUUGGGGUUUAGUCGCCGGAUGAUGACGGAUCUUGUGGUAGUGUUGAAUUUUGCACAACACUGACGGAGAGAGAGUUGACGCAAGACAGCCGGGAAAAGUUGCCGGAAAAUCAAGGCACAGUGACUUUUUGUUGUAUUCUUGUUCCCGGAUGUGUCUCACCACCACUGCUCUGAUACAUGUAAGAAAUAAUACACAAGAAAAUAAUUCUUUUGAUAUAUUAACAAUGAUACAAUGACCCCUAUA